UUCUCGUUCCACGCUAUCAUCUCCUCUCUCCCCGCUUUUCAGAUCCUCAUUAAAUUUCUCAUCAUCUCGUUCUUCUCGCCAUCAUAUCGUGGUCAAAGCCACCGAUGACUCUUCCAACCUAUCCGGUGAUGAUCUUUUUCGAUCUUUCCCGUGGUUCCAAUCCGACUCUGAGUAAGAAACAGAAGGCAGCAAAGAGAGGGAGAGAGAGAGAGCAGAACCAAGACGGAAAGAAGGAGAGACAGGACAAGUUCCUCCACUUCUUCUUCUACUUAUAUGAGUGCUUGCUUCAUCUGGGUCAUCACAGACACACACAAAUAGAAGAAAGAAAAGAAUGAAACGGAGUUGAGGGAGAAGGGAGGAGUGACCGAAACUUCAAUUUUGUGUGGCUAGGAUUUUUAAUUCAAGGAAGAAGCACAAACAGAAUUUUGAACUUCAAAAGAGAAAUUCAAUGGGUUCAUGAGGAUAGAAUUACAUUGUUCACCGCUGAUGGACUGGUGCAGAUUGGAGGCUCCAUCACCCCUCGCCAUGUUAGCUCUUCAGAUGUAUGAUUUUAUUAUGCAAU
This is a long non-coding RNA of Arachis stenosperma, 562 nucleotides long. RefSeq lists it as uncharacterized. Lineage: Eukaryota; Viridiplantae; Streptophyta; Magnoliopsida; Fabales; Fabaceae. The transcript is spliced from 3 exons. The record is from RefSeq and is a predicted model, not a curated record.